UGGGGAAUAUUGCACAAUGGGCGAAAGCCUGAUGCAGCAACGCCGCGUGAGUGAUGAAGGCCUUCGGGUUGUAAAGCUCUGUCUUCUGGGACGAUAAUGACGGUACCAGAGGAGGAAGCCACGGCUAACUACGUGCCAGCAGCCGCGGUAAUACGUAGGUGGCAAGCGUUAUCCGGAUUUACUGGGCGUAAAGGAUGCGUAGGCGGAUACUUAAGUCAGAUGUGAAAAUCCCGGGCUUAACUUGGGAACUGCAUUUGAAACUGGGUAUCUAGAGUGCGGGAGAGGAAAGUGGAAUUCCUAGUGUAGCGGUGAAAUGCGUAGAGAUUAGGAAGAACACCAGAGGCGAAGGCGACUUUCUGGACCGUAACUGACGCUGAGGCAUGAAAGCGUGGGGAGCAAACA
RNAcentral lists this ribosomal RNA (402 nucleotides) under uncultured bacterium. Its description in RNAcentral is "bacterial SSU rRNA". It matches the Rfam family "Bacterial small subunit ribosomal RNA", at positions 355 to 774 of the family's 1533-position model. The record is from RNAcentral.